UACAUCCCUCCUUUCCCAAAAGCAAGAUCAAGUGCCUGCAUCAAAUAAUGCAAGAGUGAGAUGACACAUCUCAGCAAGUAAAAAGGUCAAACAUCAAUUGGGACUAUGUAACCAAACCAUGCUUAAACAACCACGUAAUUCACAACUUCCUUCCUGAGUAUUAAUUUGCAGCAAGUACACAAGUAACCAAUUACUUAGUUUCAAAGAAGUGAAUCACCAAGUAAAGACCCACAAUAUCCACUUGACCACAACAGGUUCCACACUUCACCCUUGAACGCACAUGGCUACAGAUGCAGUAAUGACUUCUGCCUUCAUACCGCUAGGGUAUGAAGCUGCAUCAUACCCCUACUUGGGCAAUGUAUGAUGUUGAGUGUACCAGUACGGUCGGACCAUAAGAUCACGACAAAACUUCCAUGCAAAAGAUGAUGUAUGCAGUAUGCAUGACAACAACAUGAGAUCCUCCACCCACAUGUGGUAGACAUAAACUUCCACUUCCUCAAAAUGAUAAGACAACACGUGUAACAUGCUCAAACCACAUCUUCAACAUAAAAAAAUAAUGUAACAUGAAUAACUUCGAGCCACAUUUCCCACAAUGGAGUACAAGUAUGAAUACAUUUGACAUGGAUGUGAUUAAGCAUAGGACACAUAAAUCAAUCAACGGUAUAAACCACCACUAUUUUACUUGUCUUCACCGGGGAGUUUGGACAAAGCCUUGAGCAUAAUCCGGAAGUCCACCACCUGUUUUGGACACACAACUCAGUACACAAAUUUCACGUAACAACGCUCAUAAACGACGCCGCACCUACGCACAAUUUCAAACCCCGCCGCGGGUAACAACUCUUCCCACACCCACCAAACUGUAGCGGCGCUGCUUAACAAUUUCAUAUCUUUAAAAUUAUGACAGCAGAGGUAACAACCAAAAACUCCAGAGGCAUCUAUAUAAAAUUCCCCACAAGUUUUGUAUACAACUUAUCAUUAAACACCAACAUCUAAUUAGCCCAAAACCAUCCACAAGGUACAUCCUGCAAUCUGUUUUUUUGGACAGCAACACACCCGGAUUCAAACAGCGAUAUCUCCUAAUUUAUAACUCCGAAUUGAGCGCAUAAGUACUUGUUGGAAAGGUAUGACAAAGCUAUACAUAAUUCUCAUACUGUUUAUCACUAAUUACCCACGAAAAAUCCCCAGAAACUGCUAAUACUACUGCUGUACGCCCACCUGCAGAAAUCUGUUUCUUUGGACAGCCACAUACCUGGAUUCAAACGGUGAUAUCUCCUAAAAUAUAACUCCGAAUCGAGCGCAUAAGUACUCGUUGGAAAGGUAUGACAAAGCUCUACAUGAUUCUCAUACUGAUUCCCAUUAAUUACCCACGAAAAAUUCCCAGAAACUGCUAGAACUACUGAUGUUCGCCCACCCACUAAAUUUCUGGACAGCACCUCUACCAAUUCGCAUACGCAACAUCUAUUCAAUUGAAUUGCAGCACAAAUAAACAAGAGAUAAACACAAAAAUCACCUUGGAUUCUCCCCUUUUCCUUCCUUCCUUCUUCCCUCCACCAAAACCAAUUGGAGACUUGCACCACGCGACGUAGAUCCAAGCGACAAGGAAUGGCACCUUGGGGAGGAGGAGAUGGGGGUGGCUAGGGUUAGGUGGUGUGGCUGCAAGAGUUUGAGGGAGGAGGAGAUGGGAGGGGGGCGGCGGCCAAGGGCUAGG
Molecule: long non-coding RNA, 1708 nt
Filed under: Zea mays
Lineage: Eukaryota; Viridiplantae; Streptophyta; Magnoliopsida; Poales; Poaceae
Description: long non-coding RNA (ZMAY_LNC000499)
Source: RNAcentral